RNAcentral lists this long non-coding RNA (228 nucleotides) under Marmota monax (woodchuck). Lineage: Eukaryota; Metazoa; Chordata; Mammalia; Rodentia; Sciuridae. The record is from RNAcentral.
UGCUCACCUAAGAAAAUAUUUCUGGAUUGUUUCAGGCUGUGACUCUUCAAUUAACCUGACAUCUCACAAAUCCAAAAUUGCCGUGGAUGAGCUCUUCAGUACUCUUCGGGACAUUGCCGGAGCUCGGAGUCUCAUGAAACAGUUCAAGUCUGUGUGUGUCCCUGGGAAUCACGGCCACCAGGCAAGUGCAUGUGCCCUAAAGUGACUGUCUAAUUGGUUGCACUUUGA